AGGUAGUNUACGUUGAUCAGCCUGAAGGUUUUGUGACCGGCGAGCGUGGUCUAAAGUGUCGGUUGUUGAAGGCGUUGUACGGCUUACGGCAAGCCAGCCGGGCUUGGUAUGUUAAAUUGGUAAAUAAGCUACGGGAAAUGGGCUACACGGUCUCAGACGCGGACCCCGGCUUGUUUAUCAAGUGUCAAGGCACUGACGUUGUUGAGUUGCUUAUCCAUGUUGACGAUCUGUUGAUUGGGAGUGACUCUAAGGAUCUAAUAGCCCAGUCAAAGAAAGAACUGGCGAAGGAUUUCGAUUUGCGUGAUUUAGGCGCGGUCUCGUUCUUUUUGGGGAUGGAGGUUAUGCGUGAUAAAACCGCCGGGACCCUUAAAAUAUCGCAAAAGAAGUAUGCAGCGGAGUUGGUUGCAAGGUUUGAUAUGGCCGAUGCUAAGUCCGCGGCUAUUCCUAUGCAGCCGUCAUUAGUAUUGCAGCGGGAGCCCGUUGAUGAAGAACUGUUGCUGGACGCUAGCAAGUUUCGAUCUUUGGUUGGUGGUUUAAUGUACCUUGCAGUCUGUACAAGGCCUGAUAUCGCGCAGGCUGUCUAUAAACUCGCACGUUUUAUGUCGAAGCCUGCCGUUUCACAUUGGGAGGCUGCCAAGUCCGUCUUGCGGUACGUUAAGAGCACAUUAGCGUAUGGUAUUGUUUUUUGCGGUUCGCAGUCUUUGGUGGGGUAUGCGGAUUCUGACUGGGCCAGUGAUCCAGAUAGUCGGCGAUCCACCACCGGCUAUGUCUUUAUUCUGAAUGGAGGCGCCAUAAGUUGGAAGAGCAGGCUACAACCUACUGUCGCUGCAUCGUCGGUUGAAGCCGAGUACAUGGCUGCUGCGUCAGCAACGCGGGAGGCAGUUUGGUUGCGUAAGUUGAUGAGGGAUUUGGGCUACGAGGUACGGGCCGUUGAGAUCAAGGACGAUAGUCAAGGUGCUAUAGCCCUGAUCCGCAACCCCAUCACGUCAGAGCGGUCAAAGCACAUAGACGUGAUCCACCACUUUGUUCGAGAAAAGGAGAGUUCGGGUAGUGUAUCGUUCCAGUAUUGCCCUUCUCACGAUAUGGUUGCAGAUGUGCUGACGAAGCCGUUGGCUUUGGUCAAGUUUUCGAAAUUCCGAGAGUGCAUGGGAGUUCGUUGAGUUUUCUUCUGGGGUGUGCCAGAGUUCUGUCCGCGGGGGAGUGUUGAUAUCUCGUCCAGAACUCCUGCAUAUCGUAGUUUGGCGGAUACNNNNNNNNNNNNNNNNNNNNNNNNNNNNNNNNNNNNNNNNNNNNNNNNNNUAUCAAGUGUCAAGGCACUGACGUUGUUGAGUUGCUUAUCCAUGUUGACGAUCUGUUGAUUGGGAGUGACUCUAAGGAUCUAAUAGCCCAGUCAAAGAAAGAACUGGCGAAGGAUUUCGAUUUGCGUGAUUUAGGCGCGGUCUCGUUCUUUUUGGGGAUGGAGGUUAUGCGUGAUAAAACCGCCGGGACCCUUAAAAUAUCGCAAAAGAAGUAUGCAGCGGAGUUGGUUGCAAGGUUUGAUAUGGCCGAUGCUAAGUCCGCGGCUAUUCCUAUGCAGCCGUCAUUAGUAUUGCAGCGGGAGCCCGUUGAUGAAGAACUGUUGCUGGACGCUAGCAAGUUUCGAUCUUUGGUUGGUGGUUUAAUGUACCUUGCAGUCUGUACAAGGCCUGAUAUCGCGCAGGCUGUCUAUAAACUCGCACGUUUUAUGUCGAAGCCUGCCGUUUCACAUUGGGAGGCUGCCAAGUCCGUCUUGCGGUACGUUAAGAGCACAUUAGCGUAUGGUAUUGUUUUUUGCGGUUCGCAGUCUUUGGUGGGGUAUGCGGAUUCUGACUGGGCCAGUGAUCCAGAUAGUCGGCGAUCCACCACCGGCUAUGUCUUUAUUCUGAAUGGAGGCGCCAUAAGUUGGAAGAGCAGGCUACAACCUACUGUCGCUGCAUCGUCGGUUGAAGCCGAGUACAUGGCUGCUGCGUCAGCAACGCGGGAGGCAGUUUGGUUGCGUAAGUUGAUGAGGGAUUUGGGCUACGAGGUACGGGCCGUUGAGAUCAAGGACGAUAGUCAAGGUGCUAUAGCCCUGAUCCGCAACCCCAUCACGUCAGAGCGGUCAAAGCACAUAGACGUGAUCCACCACUUUGUUCGAGAAAAGGAGAGUUCGGGUAGUGUAUCGUUCCAGUAUUG
This 2193-nucleotide long non-coding RNA is filed under the name Volvox carteri. RNAcentral describes it as "long non-coding RNA (VCAR_LNC001341)". Lineage: Eukaryota; Viridiplantae; Chlorophyta; Chlorophyceae; Chlamydomonadales; Volvocaceae. The record is from RNAcentral.